GUCCAGCUGACGAGUCUCAAAUAGGACGAAACGCACGUCCUGGCU
Molecule: non-coding RNA, 45 nt
Organism: Schistosoma haematobium
Lineage: Eukaryota; Metazoa; Platyhelminthes; Trematoda; Strigeidida; Schistosomatidae
Source: Rfam